Molecule: unclassified non-coding RNA, 346 nt
Filed under: uncultured fungus
Lineage: Eukaryota; Fungi
Description: sequence contains ITS1
Rfam family: 5.8S ribosomal RNA (bases 1-97)
Source: RNAcentral
GAAAUGCGAUACGCAGUGCGAAUUGCAGAACGCGAGUCAUCAGAUCUUUGAACGCAAGUGGCGCCGGUUUGCAGCCGGCAUGUGAGGCUCAGUGUGUAAGGAAAUCACACAAGUGAAUGUGGUUGAAGAUGCGCCUUUUUUUCGGAAAAGUGGGCGUCUUCUCCCAUUAAACGAGCGGAUGAAUGUUUUUUUCGACACAUUCUUCUCUCCGGAAGUAGUCACUAGCUCCCUAGUGAUCUAACGGAGACACCUUGUGUUACUAAACACGCCGUUUUUUCGAAAGAAAAACAAAAACAACAUUCCUCACUCUACACCUGAGCUUUGCAAGAUUACCCGCUGAACUUAA